Molecule: non-coding RNA, 82 nt
Filed under: Streptomyces cellostaticus
Lineage: Bacteria; Bacillati; Actinomycetota; Actinomycetes; Kitasatosporales; Streptomycetaceae
Source: RNAcentral
GGGGAAGUCCGGUGAGAGUCCGGCGCUGACCCGCAACGGUGUGCGCGGAGACCCGUGGUCCCUCGCGCGAGCCCGAUCGCCC